Non-coding RNA from Diplodia corticola, 298 nucleotides. NCBI's taxonomy places the organism in Eukaryota, Fungi, Ascomycota, Dothideomycetes, Botryosphaeriales, Botryosphaeriaceae. The record is from Rfam.
CAGCUUCGUAUGCUUGUUGCGGGCAGAUGAAAUGGAUGUGCGUAUCAAAACCUCCAGCAGUGAUGAUCUUGCCUUCGCCAGCGAUAACGUCCGUGCAAGAGCCAAUGACGAGGUUGGGGUGAACCCCCUUCAUGACGUCCGGGUUGCCGGCCUUGCCAGUGCCUACAAUGUGGCCGUUUUUGAUACCAAUAUCAGCCUUGUAGAUACCAGACCAGUCCACGAUCAAAGCAUUGGUGAUGACGGUGUCCAAAGAUUCGCUAUCCCCACGACCUCCUGCUUGACCCAUUCCCUCGCGCAG